This 1394-nucleotide long non-coding RNA is filed under the name Monodelphis domestica (gray short-tailed opossum). Its description in RNAcentral is "lncRNA (ENSMODG00000039130.1)". The record is from RNAcentral. Lineage: Eukaryota; Metazoa; Chordata; Mammalia; Didelphimorphia; Didelphidae.
AUGGACCCCGACAGCAUCAAGAGCCAUUUUGUCCACUGUUCUUUUCACAGUUUCUCUCUCCAGACUCUUUUGCGGCAGAGAAGUGGCUGGCGGCAGCCUGCUGAGCGGCAUCUUGCUGAGCAGUUUGGCAUCUUGGAGUGGCAGCAGCUAUUGUCCGGUUUAGUGGCCUCAGCUUUAGUGCAAGGAGAAGGUGGUGCAGGAUUUCCCCCCCAAGGAAGGGAGUACAACGCAGGAGAGUAUCCCUGCUCUGCAACCUUUCAUCCAGCUCCAGGGCUGUAGUGAAGCAAGUCCUUCUCCCAGCUGGGCAGAAAGGACAUGAAUGAAGUCAGAGUAAUGAGAAAACAAAAAGGAUGGGCAAGCAUGGGAGAUGUGGUCCUGACCCGUCAGGAGAAGGAUAUAGCUCUUCCCCAAGUCAGCAACAUAGAGGAGAAAGAAGGAGGGACUUCUGGAGUCCUGGAUACCAGUUUACAGGUAAGAUUUUGUUACUCUCUUUCUCCUUUGUCCUGUCUCCUCCCUUAGUCUCUCUUUCCUAACAUUUCUUUCCUGUCUUCACUCAAAUUCAUGUUUGGACUCACCCCUCAGUAGAUUGAGUAGCUCAGUUGGAUGUGAGGCAGGCCUAGAGAUGGGAGGUCCUAGGUUCAAAUGUUGCCUCAGACACUUCUCAGCCAUGUGACCCUGGGUAAUUCACUCAACCCCCAUUGCCUCACCCUUCCCACUCUUCUGCCUUGGAACCAAUACAUAGUAUUAAUUCCAACAUGGAAGGUAAGGGUUUAAAUUUAAAAAAAAAAUCAAACAAGAGUGGAGUUGUGGCAAAUUUUUAAAAAUUAACAGAAAAAAGUCAAGAAGUCACAAUAGCAGGAUGUGUCAGACAGUUGUAAAGGUGGCAUGUUGAACUUGUACAGUUUUAAAAAAGGCAACAUAAUUGAAAUUGGCCUUUUCAUAUAGAGAGAAGUUAUCAUUCCAUUUGAUAAAUGUUAAAUGAAGAAUUAUCAAACAAUCUUUUGAAAUGAAAUGGAGAUAAGGGGGCAGCUGGGUGGCUCAGUGGACUGAGAGUCAGACCUAGAGACAGGAGGUCCUAGGUUGAAAUCUGUCCUCAGACACUUCCCAGCUGUGUGACCCUGGGCAAGUUACUUAAGCCCCAUUGCCUAGCCGUUUUCUCUCUUCUGCCUUGGAGCCAAUACACAGUAUUGGCUCCAAGACAGAAGGUCAGGGUUUAAAAAAAAAUGAAAUGGAAAUGAGAAGGAAGGAGAAAGAAAAUGCUGGAGAAACAGAAAUUAUCCCUUGAUGCUGUGUGGAGUUGUCAUGAUGAAAUUUCAUGCUUAGUUCAUGCUUAUAGUAUUGGGGGCUAGCAUGAAAUGUUGAACAAUAGGAUGUCGUGAUUUGGCAGUUUUAGC